Molecule: ribosomal RNA, 500 nt
Filed under: uncultured bacterium
Lineage: Bacteria
Description: partial 16S ribosomal RNA
Rfam family: Bacterial small subunit ribosomal RNA
Source: RNAcentral
AUUGAACGCUGGCGGCAUGCCUUACACAUGCAAGUCGAACGGCAGCACGGGAGCAAUCCUGGUGGCGAGUGGCGAACGGGUGAGUAAAGUAUCGGAACGUGCCCAGUCGUGGGGGAUAACGUAGCGAAAGUUACGCUAAUACCGCAUACGAUCUAUGGAUGAAAGCGGGGGAUCGCAAGACCUCGCGCGAUCGGAGCGGCCGAUAUCAGAUUAGGUAGUUGGUGGGGUAAAGGCUCACCAAGCCGACGAUCUGUAGCUGGUCUGAGAGGACGACCAGCCAAACUGGGACUGAGACACGGCCCAGACUCCUACGGGAGGCAGCAGUGGGGAACUUUGGACAAUGGGCGAAAGCCUGAUCCAGCCAUGCCGCGUGCAGGAUGAAGGCCUUCGGGUUGUAAACUGCUUUUGUACGGAACGAAAAGGUUUGGCCUAAUAAGCUGAGCUCAUGACGGUACCGUAAGAAUAAGCACCGGCUAACUACGUGCCAGCCGCCGCCGUAA